UCACGAAGAACUNCGAUUGCGAAGGCAGCUUGCUGGACUGUAACUGACGCUGAGGCACGAAAGCGUGGGGAUCAAACAGGAUUAGAUACCNNGGUANNCCACGCCGUAAACGAUGAAUGCUAGCUGUUAGCGAUAUACUGUUAGCGGCACAGAGAAAUCGUUAAGCAUUCCACCUGGGGAGUACGCCGGCAACGGUGAAACUCAAAGGAAUUGACGGGGGCCCGCACAAGCGGAGGAACAUGUGGUUUAAUUCGAUGAUACGCGAGGAACCUUACCUGGGCUUAAAUUGCAGUGGAAUAACGUGGAAACAUGUUAGCCUUCGGGCCGCUGUGAAGGUGCUGCAUGGUUGUCGUCAGCUCGUGCCGUGAGGUGUCGGCUUAAGUGCCAUAACGAGCGCAACCCUCAUCGAUAGUUACUAACAGGUUAAGCUGAGGACUCUAUCGAGACUGCCGACGUAAGUCGUGAGGAAGGUGGGGAUGACGUCAAAUCAGCACGGCCCUUACGUCCAGGGCUACACACGUGUUACAAUGGGGGGUACAAAGGGCAGCUACCUGGCGACAGGAUGCUAAUCUCAAAAACCUCUCUCAGUUCGGAUUGGAGUCUGCAACCCGACUCCAUGAAGCUGGAUUCGCUAGUAAUCGCGCAUCAGCCACGGCGCGGUGAAUACGUUCCCGGGCCUUGUACACACCGCCCGUCAAGCCAUGGGAGCCGGGGGGACCUGAAGUAUGCAACCGUAAGGAGCGUCCUAGGGUAAAACUGGUGACUGGGGCU
RNAcentral lists this ribosomal RNA (771 nucleotides) under uncultured prokaryote. Its description in RNAcentral is "bacterial SSU rRNA". It matches the Rfam family "Bacterial small subunit ribosomal RNA", at positions 697 to 1482 of the family's 1533-position model. The record is from RNAcentral.